This 361-nucleotide long non-coding RNA is filed under the name Mytilus galloprovincialis (Mediterranean mussel). Lineage: Eukaryota; Metazoa; Mollusca; Bivalvia; Mytilida; Mytilidae. The record is from RNAcentral.
CUAAAAGGUAAAUUUUGAAAAUCACAAAAGUUCAAAUUCAAAGACGUUGACCAUCUACGUACGUUAAAAAAUAAAUCUGAACGUUUAAUAUCAUGCAAGGUUACAUAUAGUGUAGUAUCUUUUGUGUCAAUUCGACAAAAGAGAAGAAAAACGGCAUAAUUUAUGUAAUAAAAAAAUAAACCAACAAACGACAACCCCAGACUCCUGACUUGUGGAAAGGCACAUACCGAAUGUGGCGGUGUUAAACUAGUUUGUUUGCGCCAAACCCUCCCAUAUCCUGGGACAGUACAACUUAAGGAACAAACUAUACAAAACCAUAAACGAAAAACAAAAAUAAGUAACAGAAAAAAAGCGACAACCA